RNAcentral lists this ribosomal RNA (428 nucleotides) under uncultured bacterium. RNAcentral describes it as "bacterial SSU rRNA". It matches the Rfam family "Bacterial small subunit ribosomal RNA", at positions 8 to 429 of the family's 1533-position model. The record is from RNAcentral.
AGAGUUUGAUCCUGGCUCAGGACGAACGCUGGCGGCGUGCUUAACACAUGCAAGUGGUGCGACGAACCAGGGCUUGCCCUGGGGCCAAGCCGCGAACGGGUGAGUAACACGUGAGUAACCUGCCCCGAUGACCGGGACAACCCGAGGAAACUCGGGCUAAUACCGGAUGUGGCGCACAAUCGUAAGUUUGUGCGCUAAAGGAAGCUUCGGCCUCCGCAUUGGGAGGGGCUCGCGGCCCAUUAGCUUGUUGGUGGGGUAACGGCCUACCAAGGCAACGAUGGGUAGCUGGUCUGAGAGGACGAUCAGCCACACUGGGACUGAGACACGGCCCAGACUCCUACGGGAGGCAGCAGUGGGGAAUCUUGCGCAAUGCGCGAAAGCGUGACGCAGCAACGCCGCGUGGGGGAAGACGGCCUUCGGGUUGUAAA